Molecule: long non-coding RNA, 388 nt
Organism: Oncorhynchus tshawytscha (Chinook salmon)
Lineage: Eukaryota; Metazoa; Chordata; Actinopteri; Salmoniformes; Salmonidae
Source: Ensembl
AGCUAGGCUUGGGUCAGCUAGGCUUGGGUCAGGUAGGCUUGGGUCAGCUAGGCUUGGGUCAGCUAGGCUUGGGUCAGGUAGGCUUGGGUUAGGUAGGCUUGGGUUAGCUCAGCUUGGGUCAGGUAGGCUUGGGUCAGGUAGGUUUGGGUUAGCUCAGCUUGGGUCAGGUAGGCUUGGGUCAGGUAGGCUUGGGUUAGCUCAGCUUGGGUCAGGUAGGCUUGGGGCAGCUAGGCUUGGGUUAGCUCAGCUUGGGUCAGGUAGGCUUGGGUCAGCUAGGCUUGGGUUAGCUCAGCUUGGGUCAGGUAGACUUGGGUCAGCUAGGCUUGGGUUAGCUCAGCUUGGGUCAGGUAGGCUUGGGUCAGCUAGGCUUGGGUUAGCUCAGCUUGGG